Molecule: long non-coding RNA, 1095 nt
Filed under: Cavia porcellus (domestic guinea pig)
Lineage: Eukaryota; Metazoa; Chordata; Mammalia; Rodentia; Caviidae
Description: lncRNA (ENSCPOG00000032620.1)
Source: RNAcentral
AAUGUAAACCAUUCUGUAGCUAACAGUAUAAAAGCCCCUAUAAUUUCACAAUUUAAAUGAAUACUUACCAAGACAAUAACUGGGAAUAAGGGUUGGAAGCCAAGCCACAUUGGAGAAAGCUGAUGUGUGCAGAGAGUUGAUCCGAGCCAGUUCCGACACUCCACCAGUGUAGGACAGAGGUCCUAUUGGGUCCACCCGCCACAGAAUCAGCUCACUGUAGAUUGCGUUUGGGUCAUGAAAUGUGCGAGUGGGCGCGUUCCUAAGAGGGCUGCUUUGACAAACCUUUUGUGUGCCUUAUGGGAUCCGCUAGUCUACCUAACUUACUGUCUGAGUCCCACUGGCAGUCCGGAAUCAAGGGCGUCAACAGGGCAUUAUGAUGGGAAGACGUCAACAACAGUGGCAAAACUGAGUGGCACGCUAGGUCAUUGAGGUGAAAGCGGUGACCGCAGUACCGGAACUUGUGGGACACAGUUAAAACAGUGGUGAAGGCAGACUUGUCAGCAAAAGUGACAGCCCAUUGGUUGAGAGAGCCAUCGAUGUGCUUAGAGACCAUCAUCACUGUGGGGUCCAGCAUCGACAAGCUCACGUGGGGGCCUCUUGAGGAGGGCUGCCACCUGCAGGGACUGCCCCCUGAGAGCAGCUCCUGCGGAGGCGAGGGCGAGCUGCGGAGGGAGUCUUUCGCGACACUCACACACGCAUACAUCAUGAUGUUUUUUACUCAGGGAGCUUGCCUCUUUUUGGGGAAAAUGCAACAGGAAUUCGAGAAGAAAAAUAUACCUGGACUUGUCUAAAUAUCCCAGGGUUAUAUUCAUCCAAAUACUUUACGUGCCACACUAGAAAGGUGCCGUCUACAGGGUGUAUGGUAAAGAGCAUGUCAGGGUUCUUAUUCCACUCUGUCAGCAGCAUCUCCAUCUUGCGGUCCAGCAGGACUGUGGGCAGGGGCACUGGGAUGCUGGGCCGGGAGCAGGCCCUUGGGCUGCCCUCACGCUCUCCAUCUUCAUGCUCUGAUGAGCCUGUGCCUCCCUCCGAUUCUCUAUCCAGUGAUAAUUCUGAAUUGGAAAAGACAUUUAUCAGAAUGUACCCUAAAUAAUACUA